AUGAACUUAUACUUUGCAACUUUUUGUUGCGUUGCCUAGCAACAAGCUAGCGGUACGCCAGACGCGCGUGCAAACGUCAUGCGCCAUACAAGCCGCAGGAGUGAGCGAGGCCGGCUGCGCAUGUGAAGCUCGCGCGCUCGGCGACCCGUCUCUUUUGGAUGUAGCCAGUUUUUUGGGCUCCCGGCGUUCUCUUGUGUUCCGUCUGCAUUUCGACACGGCACCGCUGCACUACUGGACUACAGCAAGCUGAUGGCAUCCGGUGGAGCAUCGUACGGCAACGACUGCUGGUUACCUGGCGCCACAACUUUGGAUGAAUGCAGAAGAAGCCCGGAACGAGCAUUUAUAUAGAGCAAAAUAAACUUUUCAUCAUUUCAGAA
Molecule: long non-coding RNA, 377 nt
Filed under: Dermacentor andersoni
Lineage: Eukaryota; Metazoa; Arthropoda; Arachnida; Ixodida; Ixodidae
Description: uncharacterized LOC126523449
Source: RNAcentral